This 721-nucleotide ribosomal RNA is filed under the name Madagascaromyces intermedius. RNAcentral describes it as "eukaryotic LSU rRNA". It matches the Rfam family "Eukaryotic large subunit ribosomal RNA", at positions 111 to 867 of the family's 3401-position model. Lineage: Eukaryota; Fungi; Ascomycota; Dothideomycetes; Mycosphaerellales; Mycosphaerellaceae. The record is from RNAcentral.
AAAUUUGAAAUCUGGCGCAAGCCCGAGUUGUAAUUUGUAGAGGAUGCUUCUGGGCAGCGGCCGUUCUAAGUCUCUUGGAACAGGGCGUCAUAGAGGGUGAGAAUCCCGUAUGUGACCGGCGCGCACCCUCCACGUAGCUCCUUCGACGAGUCGAGUUGUUUGGGAAUGCAGCUCUAAAUGGGAGGUAAAUUUCUUCUAAAGCUAAAUACCGGCCAGAGACCGAUAGCGCACAAGUAGAGUGAUCGAAAGAUGAAAAGCACUUUGGAAAGAGAGUUAAAAAGCACGUGAAAUUGUUGAAAGGGAAGCGCUUGCAACCAGACUUCGCGGCGGUGUUCCGCCGGUCUUCUGACCGGUCCACUCGCCGCCGCGAGGCCAACAUCGUCUGGGGCCGCCGGAUAAGACCAUGGGAAUGUGGCUCCCUCGGGAGUGUUAUAGCCCACGGUGAUGCGGCGCGCCUCGGGCGAGGUCCGCGCUUCGGCAAGGAUGUUGGCGUAAUGGUUGCCAGCGGCCCGUCUUGAAACACGGACCAAGGAGUCUAACAUCUAUGCGAGUGUUCGGGUGUCAAACCCCUACGCGUAAUGAAAGUGAACGGAGGUGGGAGCUUCGGCGCACCAUCGACCGAUCCUGAUGUCCUCGGAUGGAUUUGAGUAAGAGCAUAGCUGUUGGGACCCGAAAGAUGGUGAACUAUGCCUGAAUAGGGUGAAGCCAGAGGAAACUCUGG